RNAcentral lists this ribosomal RNA (253 nucleotides) under uncultured bacterium. RNAcentral's name for it is "partial 16S ribosomal RNA". It matches the Rfam family "Bacterial small subunit ribosomal RNA", at positions 524 to 776 of the family's 1533-position model. The record is from RNAcentral.
UACAGAGGUCCCAAGCGUUGUUCGGAUUUACUGGGCGUAAAGGGUGCGUAGGCGGCGCGGAAAGUUCGGGGUGAAAUCUCCAGGCUCAACCUGGAAACUGCCCUGAAUACUUCCGUGCUUGAGGGUCGCAGAGGAGAUUGGAAUUCUCGGUGUAGCAGUGAAAUGCGUAGAUAUCGAGAGGAACAUCAGUGGCGAAAGCGAAUCUCUGGGCGGCAUCUGACGCUGAGGCACGAAAGCCAGGGGAGCAAAUGGG